Molecule: ribosomal RNA, 588 nt
Filed under: uncultured bacterium
Lineage: Bacteria
Description: partial 16S ribosomal RNA
Rfam family: Bacterial small subunit ribosomal RNA
Source: RNAcentral
UGGGGAAUCUUCCGCAAUGGACGAAAGUCUGACGGAGCAACGCCGCGUGUAUGAUGAAGGUCUUCGGAUUGUAAAGUACUGUCAUUGGGGAAGAACGGUUUUCUUGAGAAUAUUGAGAAGACAUGACGGUACCCAAGGAGGAAGCCCCGGCUAACUACGUGCCAGCAGCCGCGGUAAUACGUAGGGGGCAAGCGUUGUCCGGAAUUAUUGGGCGUAAAGGGCGCGUAGGCGGGCCUUUAAGUCCGGUGUGAAAGAUCAGGGCUCAACCCUGAGAGUGCAUCGGAAACUGGAGGCCUUGAGGACAGGAGAGGAAAGUGGAAUUCCACGUGUAGCGGUGAAAUGCGUAGAUAUGUGGAGGAACACCAGCGGCGAAGGCGACUUUCUGGACUGUAACUGACGCUGAGGCGCGAAAGCGUGGGGAGCAAACAGGAUUAGAUACCCUGGUAGUCCACGCCGUAAACGAUGAGUGCUAGGUGUAGAGGGUAUCGACCCCUUCUGUGCCGCAGUUAACACAAUAAGCACUCCGCCUGGGGAGUACGGCCGCAAGGUUGAAACUUAAAUGAAUUGACGGGGUCAUAGCUGUUUCCU